Zingiber officinale is the source of this 1630-nucleotide long non-coding RNA. RefSeq lists it as uncharacterized. The transcript is spliced from 2 exons. Lineage: Eukaryota; Viridiplantae; Streptophyta; Magnoliopsida; Zingiberales; Zingiberaceae. The record is from RefSeq and is a predicted model, not a curated record.
UCCGUUCAUGAGAAACUCCACUACCCUUAGUUUCCUCUUGUUUACCUCAUCCUCUUGUAUUAUCAUAAGAUGAGGCGAGCAAAAUAACCCUCCUCUUCCUUUAUCAAUCGGUCAACUUGUCCAUCUUCCCAAUUGGAGGCUCCAAUUAUCGGGAGGAAAAUUUGAAAAAGGUUCCUCCCCAACGCAAGUUGCCCGAGAGAAGAUCCAUGAGAAUUAUGUCAUGUUCAAAGUCUUUCUCCCCACCAAUUUCCUCAUCCUCAUUUAGAUAUCUAAGGGUUCUUUCGAUAACUCGCCUGAAUAAUUUCCUGAAACGUUGAUUCCUUCUCCUCCUUUGACAGUUGUUCUUAACUCCUUUAUUUUUUACGAGAUGACAAAUUUUAGAGAUGACCCCAUAUUCAUUUUUUCGAGUAGUUAUUUCUCAAUGUUCAUAGGGAUCUAGUGAGACCUCGUUGGCGAAUACAAGCUUAUUGUUCUCCCAAAUUUAAGUCGUGGUAUGAGCAAUGUUCCUGCCUGUGAGUCACAACUUAAAUUAAUAACGGCGAGAGUUGAGGCUUUGGAAAAAUUAUAUUCUCAAGCAGCAAUGGCUUUAGAGGAGGCACUUCGAUGAGAAAAGACAUUACUCUAAGAGCUUGAUAUGUUACAUGCUUAUACUUGUGCAAAAUAGGAGCUAUCUUCUGCAUGUAGACUUUAUCGCUAAUUUUAUAUUUUCCUCCUGUCUUUUGGUAUACAUAUAGGAAUGUCUAUCAUUUUUUAGCUUUUCCUUAUUCUAUGUAUUGCAUCCUUAUAUAAAUGUUUGACUUUAUGGAAGCGUGUUAUGCGAACCUUCAAUGUUCAAAUUUGCAUAUUUGUCUGCCCAUCAAUCUUAUCUUAAUUUGAAAUGUCGCCUUUAAUUCCACUAUAUAUUUUUCUUGUGUUAUUGAGGAAGUGAUGUGUCUUUACCAUGAUUCGACUUGUCAUCUUGAAUAAAUACCAUAUGUAUUUACUUUAUAGAGGUGCACCCCAAACCUUCUUCCCCUAUUCACUUAUUAGCAUUCUAGUUGCUUGUGUCCCUUCCACAUUUCUCUUAUUUACUGGUUUGUCUGGAUGAUCCAAAAUCAUCUAAGAGAUCAAAUGAGAACUCUUGAUUUUGAAGGAGCAGUCAAAAGACGAGACCCUCUAAGGAGGGUAUUAGAAUGCUCAUGUCUUUGGAGGAAUUCUUUGAGGAUUCUAACCUUGCUUUUCUCACUUCAGUAGAUUCCUCGGAUUUGGAACACUUAGCUUCAUGGGUCCUUGGUGAAAAUUCUAAACCGAAGGUGGACUCUCCUUGUAUAAGGAUCUUAAUAUAACAAAGAGAUCAAGCAUGAAGUGAACUGGAUGUUGCCCUUUGUAGGGAAAGAGCAAUCAAAGCAAAGUUUAAUCUACAGAGCCAGCACUUGUGUAAGAUUAAUAUAACACUUGAAGAUGCCAUUUACCAUAGGACCAGGUGCGAACAAUUAGAGAAAAUCAUCUUCGACCAUCUUCUAACGAAGUAUCUCAUCAAUGGCAUCCUAAACUUUCGUUUCUUAAAUAUGUAUCCCUUCAAAUAUUAAUAUUUCAUAUUGUAAUAAAAAAUUAACCUAUGAUAUCUCAUAGUAAUACAAAUGUUUUUCCA